Molecule: long non-coding RNA, 4318 nt
Filed under: Homo sapiens (human)
Lineage: Eukaryota; Metazoa; Chordata; Mammalia; Primates; Hominidae
Description: HSALNT0241903
Source: RNAcentral
GUAAACCAAGAGAGAAUUGUGCAAAAAUGUCUUCAGGGUCACUUCUUUCCCUAACUUGGUCCCUCAGAGUUCUUUCCACUAGAUAUCCAGUGUGUUCAACCUAACUCCUAUCUGCAGUGGGCCUCCAAAUAUUGCACCCCUAUGGGCAGGGCUGUGUGUCAUUUCCCUGGCCCCUAUCUGGGUCAAAACUGUCAUUCCUCCAGGGACCUGCUGGGCAACUAGCAAACUAAUCUUCAAUGUAUUUUACCCAAGGUGUUAAUGACAGAUAAUGGCUUAAUGCAUUACCCCUCCCAGCUAACAUUUCCAUUUUAAUAGAGCCUUUAAAUGCUUUAACCUGAAGGAAACAGCAUGAAAAAUGCAGGGAUAGCAAAUAUCUGGCACCUUUGCUCCUUCCCUGUUCCUGGAAGACAUCUUCAAAUGGUCACUGAGGCUUUUCCUGCUAUGCCUGGACAUACCCUGAGAAGCCCAUAGGGCCCUGGGCAGCCCCUACCAGCCUAUGAUGGGAGUUACCAUGCAAGAUGAAAUCUAUUUGCCAACCUUAUCGUGAAACAAAUAUUUGUCCAGGAGUAAAAAGACCUGAAUUCUACUUUGGGGCUUUGACAUUACCUGGACAUAGGGCCUAAACAAAUUUAUUAGACAUUUCCAAGUCUCAGUUUCCUUACCCAUAAAAUGAGAGGACUGGCAUUAGAGUCAAGCAUUUCCAAAGCAUAGUUCUCAAUCUGCCAGGGACUCUCAAAAUCUGACCUCACAGCUCUCCAAGCUGGUUGCUGCUACCACGUACCUCUUCCCAUUUUUGCCUUGCUUCCCACAAGGGAAGGAAAUUCACUCCCAACUGGGCACCACCUUUCUAUCUCUAUUUGGGGACCUUCCUGUCCCUGAAAGGCCCUGGGAACAUAAUGUAAAGCAACUAUGGGGGCAGCUGCUAAGAAGCCAGAUCUUGUGACACUAAGAGUCCAGUCACGUGGUUCAGAGUCCACAGCAACCUGUGGCGACUAUGCAGUCAUCAGCCAGAGAGGCAGAGCCUCUGUCUGGAGAUGUGUCAGAAAUGGGUGUGACUAGUCCCAGACACAUCAAGUGAGGAAAAAUCAGGUGUGCAGAUUACGUUGUGUAAAUGCCUUUCUAAUUCUCAAUGCUCCAGGAAGGAAUCUCAGAGAUUAAAUUAAGCUGUUAACCCUCUAGGCGCUCCUGUCGUUUAUUGUUAAGGAAUUAAUAGGAAUGCGGGAAUGCAGAUGGCCUGGCUGUCAGCUCGGAGAGGCGAUUUUUCUGAUCUCCAAGGAGGUUUCCAGCAUCUUUCAUUAAGCACUCGUGUACCAACUUGUCAUUUUAACCGAGCAGCAAAGAAACUCCCACUCAACUGCCUACCUCAGCGCUCCAGGACGCAGGUGGCACGCUCAACGCGGGGAGGCGCCACCUACAGGACAGAGGAAGACCUGCAGCUUGGGCUUGAGAUUUCAACAGUCUGUGGCGGGGGCUGAUGAGGGCGGCCCCUCCUCCUCCUGGAGUAAUAAUAGUCCCUGACAUUUAUCGAAUGCUCUUCUCGUGCCAGACACUGUCCUGAGCACUUGACAUGUAUUAAUGAUUUUAAACCUCACAACAACCCUAUUAGCAUUCAACUCUAUGGGCCCUCAAUUCUGCAGCUUUGGUUUACCAUUUUUUGAGACUCGCUUACUCGUCUGGAAAGGAAAUCUUUGCUAAGGUAAUAUGGUACCCAGAGGAACCCAGAGAGAUAACAACCUCUUCUAUUUGUAAAGACCACUUGUGAAGGAAACUCCAUAACCUCCCUGUGGUGGAGUGUAUUAUUGCUCAGCAAACAUUCAUUCUUCUCUAUUUCCCUCCGUUGGGGGAGCAAACUUCCCCACUCCAUUGAUGAUGGGUCUAGCCAUGUGACUUGUUUUAGCCAAUGGAAUGUAAACAGAGGCUUUAACUCUACUUGCUUGGUUAAGCUUGGUCUCUUGCACCUCUACCCUUUGCCACGAGAAGAGCAUGCCCUUGUCACUUCGGCCUGAGUCCCAGAAUGAGAAGUUACAUGGAGCAGACCUGAACAAGAUUCACAACCUGAACAGAAUCACUGCAGCCAAUCCACAAACCUAAAAUUGUCUACAUUCCUGCCUGGGCAUGGUGGCUCAUGCCUGUAAUCCAGCACUUUGGGAGGCCGAGGUGGGCGAGUCACUUGAGUCAGGAGUUCGAGACCAGCCUGGCCAACAUGGUGAAACCCUGCCUCUACUAAAAAUACAAAAAAUUAGCUGAGCAUGGUGGUGCAUGACUGUAAUCCCAGCUACUUGGGAGGCUGGGUCAGGAGAAUCGCUUUAACUGGGAGGUGGAGGUUGCAGUGAGCCAAGAUCACGCCACUGCACUCCAGAGUGGGAAACAGAGCAAGACUCCACCUCAAAAAGAAGAAGGAGAAGGAGAAGGAGAUUAUCUACAUUCCUGAGGAGGAGAAGUUGUACUUAAACUACCUUGAUCCAACUUCCAGCUUUACAAUCAUUGCCCCCCACCAUGCAUAUAUCAUACAUAUAUACCUGCUAGCAUGAAUACCUGCAUCAUAUCUAGAAUUAAUGGGAAUAGUCAUAGGGCCAAUCUUUCUUAUAUCAAGCAAGCUGAACAAGGGUCCAAGGGAUAAGGCCACAGCUACUUCCUCCUGCUUUAGAACAGAGCUAAAUAAACCUGUUCCUAAGUCUUGUGAGUUAUUGCAUCCUUGCCUUAUAAGGAAUGAAGACUUAACCUGCUUCCUGGCAGUCAUUACUAACUGAGUGAAGAUUCCCAUUAAUCCAGAAAUGGGAGCCUCUCUGGCUUGCAUAUGUCCAGGAAUGGACAUACCACCCACAGUUUUACUCCUGGUGGCCAAUCGGUCCCGCACACAAACACAGGCACAUCUUUUAUUUAAUGCUCAAGAUUUGUGAACAACUCCCAGCACUGUGCCUUCCAAAGGGCUUGCAUUAAGUGCUGGUGAAGGAGCAGGGACCUCUAUCAUGGCCAGAGCCAGUCAAUAAUGACACCCUGGCAGCUCUCAAAGGUGCACGAGUGGAAUGGCCAUUGAGCUACUCCAUGCAAUGAAAAGUUCUAAUGGGGAGUGGGGACACUUCUCUCCCCAGUCCCAUCCCAUGGCUUGGCUGAAAAUUUUUUUCUUUUGGGAGAUCACUGGCUUUCUCCAGCAACCUUGACUAUAAGGAUGAGGAUGAGGAGAAAAAAUAAGAACUGCCGAGUGUGGUGGCUCACGCCUGUAAUCCCAGCACUUUGGGAGGCUGAGGUGGGUGGAUCACAAAGUCAGGAGUUCAAAACCAGCCUGGCCAAGAUGGUGAAAUCCCGUUUCUACUAAAAAUACAAAAGAAAAAAAAAUUAGCCAGGCGUGGUGGCGAGUGCCUGUAAUCCCAGCUACUGGUGAGGCUAAGGCAGAGAAUUGCUUGAACCAGGGAGGCAGAGGUCACAGUGAGCCGAGAUCAUGCCACUGCACUCCAGCCUUUGCAACAGAGUGAGACUCUGUCUCAAAAAAAAAAAAAGUACACAGGGGAGGUUGUGGGGAAUUUGGAAUAUUCCCUAAGGAUUUCCUCCAUUGAAGAGGUCUGCUUUAAAGUACUGGGGGUCCACAAACUCACCCCAUUUCCAGCUUGGCCUUGGGAGAAGAGGAGGACAGAGAACAGAAUUCUGGAUUGUUACUAGGUAGUUGGGCUGCAUCAGGAAGACAUUUUGGUAGAAGGAGAGGAAAGAGAGGUAGGAAGUGGGAAGGGAAGCACUAAGGGUUUUUUUUUUGACCCUGAUCCCCUUAGCUAGACAAGCUCAGUGGGGCUUAGGAUGGAGGUCAGGGAUAGCCUAAGAUCCUGUUACUGAAAGGGUAGUCUCCAGCCAGCAGCAUCAGCAUCACCUGGCUCUUAGGCUUCACCCCAGACCUACUGAAUCAGAAACUGCAUUUUAAUCCCUAGGUGAUAAGUAUGUCCAAUAAAAUUUCAGAAGCAUUAGCCUAGAUGCUUCAAUGGGAAUAACUUCUUGCAGUGAGCUAUUGAGGAACUGUGCUGGAUAAUCUCUCUGCCCUUCCAAAUCCACUUGCCAUCCUUAUUCCCCUGCUCUUGGGACUAAGAAGUGAAUUGAUGAAUUCGCUUCCUUUAUUCAUUGCUUCAACAGGCUCCCUUGUCAUCUGGCUUCUGGUUGGGCUCAGCCAAUGGUCAGUGCUCAAGAAGCAGUGACUUAAGUGACAUUAAUAGUGACUUUACCAGCCAGGCAGGGUGGCUCAUGCCUGUAAUCCCAGCACUUUGGGUGGCCAAGACGGGUGGAUCACCUGAGGUCAGGAGUUUGAGACCAGCCUGGCUAACAUGGUGAAAUCCUG